ACUUUAUAAAUUAAAAAUAAGUUCAUGAUUUAUAUUUUUAAAGAAAAUUAUUUUUACUUUUAUUUCGUUGGGGCGACGAGAGUAUAAACCUAACUGCUCUUUCUUUAUACAACUAUACUUGAGCUUAAUGACCCUUUUUUAAGAUCUAAAGAAAAAGUU
RNAcentral lists this ribosomal RNA (159 nucleotides) under Paratrypaea bouvieri. RNAcentral's name for it is "partial 16S ribosomal RNA". The record is from RNAcentral. Lineage: Eukaryota; Metazoa; Arthropoda; Malacostraca; Decapoda; Callianassidae.